RNAcentral lists this ribosomal RNA (1346 nucleotides) under uncultured bacterium. RNAcentral's name for it is "partial 16S ribosomal RNA". It matches the Rfam family "Bacterial small subunit ribosomal RNA", at positions 28 to 1381 of the family's 1533-position model. The record is from RNAcentral.
GACGAACGCUGGCGGCGUGCUUAACACAUGCAAGUCGAACGGAAAGGCCCUGCUUUUGUGGGGUGCUCGAGUGGCGAACGGGUGAGUAACACGUGAGUAACCUGCCCUUGACUUUGGGAUAACUUCAGGAAACUGGGGCUAAUACCGGAUAGGAGCUCUUGCUGCAUGGUGGGGGUUGGAAAGUUUCGGCGGUUGGGGAUGGACUCGCGGCUUAUCAGCUUGUUGGUGGGGUAGUGGCUUACCAAGGCUUUGACGGGUAGCCGGCCUGAGAGGGUGACCGGCCACAUUGGGACUGAGAUACGGCCCAGACUCCUACGGGAGGCAGCAGUGGGGAAUAUUGCACAAUGGGCGGAAGCCUGAUGCAGCAACGCCGCGUGCGGGAUGACGGCCUCCGGGUUGUAAACCGCUUUCGCCUGUGACGAAGCGUGAGUGACGGUAAUGGGUAAAGAAGCACCGGCUAACUACGUGCCAGCAGCCGCGGUGAUACGUAGGGUGCGAGCGUUGUCCGGAUUUAUUGGGCGUAAAGGGCUCGUAGGUGGUUGAUCGCGUCGGAAGUGUAAUCUUGGGGCUUAACCCUGAGCGUGCUUUCGAUACGGGUUGACUUGAGGAAGGUAGGGGAGAAUGGAAUUCCUGGUGGAGCGGUGGAAUGCGCAGAUAUCAGGAGGAACACCAGUGGCGAAGGCGGUUCUCUGGGCCUUUCCUGACGCUGAGGAGCGAAAGCGUGGGGAGCGAACAGGCUUAGAUACCCUGGUAGUCCACGCUGUAAACGGUGGGUACUAGGUGUGGGGUCCAUUCCACGGGUUCCGUGCCGUAGCUAACGCUUUAAGUACCCCGCCUGGGGAGUACGGCCGCAAGGCUAAAACUCAAAGGAAUUGACGGGGCCCCGCACAAGCGGCGGAGCAUGCGGAUUAAUUCGAUGCAACGCGUAGAACCUUACCUGGGUUUGACAUGGAUCGGGAGUGCUCAGAGAUGGGUGUGCCUCUUUUGGGGUCGGUUCACAGGUGGUGCAUGCCUGUCGUCAGCUCGUGUCGUGAGAUGUUGGGUUAAGUCCCGCAACGAGCGCAACCCUUGUUCACUGUUGCCAGCACGUUAUGGUGGGGACUCAGUGGAGACCGCCGGGGUCAACUCGGAGGAAGGUGGGGAUGACGUCAAGUCAUCAUGCCCCUUAUGUCCAGGGCUUCACGCAUGCUACAAUGGCUGGUACAGAGAGUGGCGAGCCUGUGAGGGUGAGCGAAUCUCGGAAAGCCGGUCUCAGUUCGGAUUGGGGUCUGCAACUCGACCUCACGAAGUCGGAGUCGCUAGUAAUCGCAGAUCAGCAACGCUGCGGUGAAUACGUUCCCGGGGCU